Molecule: ribosomal RNA, 491 nt
Filed under: uncultured bacterium
Lineage: Bacteria
Description: partial 16S ribosomal RNA
Rfam family: Bacterial small subunit ribosomal RNA
Source: RNAcentral
AGCGAACGCUGGCGGUAGGCCUAACACAUGCAAGUCGAACGGCAGCGCAGUACUAGCUUGCUCUUCCGGGUGGCGAGUGGCGGACGGGUGGGGAAUACAUCGGAAUCUACUUUUUCGUGGGGGAUAGCGUCUGGGACCUUACGCUAAUACCGCCUACGACCUGCGUGUGAAAGGAGGGGAUCUUUGGGUCUUGCGUGAUUUCAUGGGCCGAUGUCGUAUUAGCUAGUUGGCGGGGUACAGGCCCAGCAAGGGGUCGAUCCGUAGCUGGUCUGGGAGGAUGAGCAGGCAUGCUGGAACGGAGACACGGUCCAGACUCGUGCGGGAGGCCGGAGUGGGGAAGAAGGGACAAGGGGCGCAAGCCUGAUCCAGCCAUACCGCGUGAGGGAAGAAGGCCGUGGGGUGGUAGAGCCCUUUUGUUGGGAAAGAAAAGCAGCAGGUGAAUGCCCCGUUGUGCUGACGGUACCAAAUGAAUAAGAACCGGCUAACAUCGU